Molecule: ribosomal RNA, 465 nt
Filed under: uncultured bacterium
Lineage: Bacteria
Description: partial 16S ribosomal RNA
Rfam family: Bacterial small subunit ribosomal RNA
Source: RNAcentral
GACGAACGCUGGCGGCGUGCUUAACACAUGCAAGUCGAACGGAAAGGCCCCUUUGGGGGUACUCGAGUGGCGAGCGGGUGAGUAACACGUGAGUAACCUGCCCUUGACUUCGGGAUAACUUCAGGAAACUGGGGCUAAUACCGGAUAGGAAUCCUUGCUGCAUGGUGGGGGUUGGAAAGCUUCGGCGGUUUUGGAUGGACUCGCGGCUUAUCAGCUUGUUGGUGGGGUAGUGGCUUACCAAGGCUUUGACGGGUAGCCGGCCUGAGAGGGCGACCGGCCACAUUGGGACUGAGAUACGGCCCAGACUCCUACGGGAGGCAGCAGUGGGGAAUAUUGCACAAUGGGCGGAAGCCUGAUGCAGCAACGCCGCGUGCGGGAUGACGGCCUUCGGGUUGUAAACCGCUUUCAGCAGGGGCGAAGCUUGUGGUGACGGUACCUGCAGAAGAAGCACCGGCUAACUACGUG